GCCGGGCGCGGUGGCUCACGCCUGUAAUCCCAGCACUUUGGGAGGCUGAGGCGGGUGGAUCACCUGAGGCCAGGAGUUCGAGACCAGCCUGGCCAACAUGGUGAAACCCCGUCUCUA
This 117-nucleotide signal recognition particle RNA is filed under the name Gorilla gorilla gorilla (western lowland gorilla). Its description in RNAcentral is "Metazoan signal recognition particle RNA". It matches the Rfam family "Metazoan signal recognition particle RNA". From Rfam's summary of the family: The signal recognition particle (SRP) is a universally conserved ribonucleoprotein. It is involved in the co-translational targeting of proteins to membranes. Lineage: Eukaryota; Metazoa; Chordata; Mammalia; Primates; Hominidae. The record is from Rfam by way of RNAcentral.